This 451-nucleotide long non-coding RNA is filed under the name Physcomitrium patens. RNAcentral's name for it is "long non-coding RNA (PPAT_LNC010141)". The record is from RNAcentral. Lineage: Eukaryota; Viridiplantae; Streptophyta; Bryopsida; Funariales; Funariaceae.
AGGGGAGAAUUAAGGUUAAAGGGGAGGAUAGGUUAAGAAAUGGGAGGGGGGUUUUUUCGGGAGAGAAGAAGGGUUUGAGAAGGAUCAGAGAGCUAGUUUCAUGCUUCGGAGCGGGGAAAAAAAAUAGAAAAUUGGGUUUUUUUUUCAUAGGGUUUUGGGAAGACUGAGGCAAUCGUUGUUGAAGUCAGUGUUGUAAAGAUGAAUCGAGAUUUUUAAUGAAGUGGGUGUGAUUACUCUUGACUGUUUUGUGAAAUCGGAGUUACGUCAGUGAUUGGAGAAUUAAAAGGGUGUCUAUAGGAUUGAGUAUGCGGAGUGAAUGAAAUUUUUUGGGUUAAUCUAUCGAGACAAUCAAUGGAUACAAGAUUGUGAGUAUAAAGUGGUAUCGAAGAUUAGCAGUUUGGGUUGUUCGGGGUUCUCUAUAACGUCUAGAGACCUACCGGCUGGGACAAAA